GUCAUUUUGGGAGGAAAGACUCCCAAAAUCACAGGGUGGUUGUGAAUGGGAUGAGGGUCUUGGGCUUGAUUUUUGGUUUUUGUUUGUUUGUUUGUUUGUUUGUUUUCCGGAGCUGAGGACCGAACCCAGGGUCUUGCACUUGCUAGGCAAGCGCUCUACCACUGAGCUAAAUCCCCAACCCCUGUUUGUUUGUUUUUUGAGACAGGGUCUCACUGUGUAGCUCUGGCUGGCCUCAAACUCAUUAUAUAAAGGACCAAAUUGACCUUUCACUAACAGAGGGUCACUUGACUCUGUGCACGCACCCUCACACUCAGACUAGAGUUUUCUUUUAAAAAAGCAUUUAUUGACUCUGUCUUUUUA
RNAcentral lists this long non-coding RNA (360 nucleotides) under Rattus norvegicus (Norway rat). RNAcentral's name for it is "long non-coding RNA NONRATT015449". Lineage: Eukaryota; Metazoa; Chordata; Mammalia; Rodentia; Muridae. The record is from RNAcentral.